This is a long non-coding RNA of Poecilia latipinna (sailfin molly), 107 nucleotides long. RefSeq lists it as uncharacterized. The transcript has 2 exons. NCBI's taxonomy places the organism in Eukaryota, Metazoa, Chordata, Actinopteri, Cyprinodontiformes, Poeciliidae. The record is from RefSeq and is a predicted model, not a curated record.
UUCCCGCUGCUCUCCUCAGUUCGCGCCGAGCUGCGCUGGGCAGAGGUCUGUGUGGGGAGGCCAGAGCCCGGGAACUGCUGUGCUGAAUGCAUUUUUGUUUUGAUCAG